GUCAUUUUACAGUCCAAACCACAGGGAUAGUUGAGUUCUCCCAGUAGAGAGAGAUCAGCAGGCGGAGUGCUAGAUGACAGAAGUGUGCAUAAAUUUUCCAGACACAGAGAACAAAAUACCAGGAAAUAGCCAGAGGGAGCCAAGCAAAAGAGAGAAAUGUGGCAGCACAUCCCUCGAAGCACUGGCAGUGACUGUGAGACACCUUGCUAGCUGGCUCCUGGUGCUGACUCCCAGCUUUCAUCUACAGCUGUAGGACUAUGGAUGCCCUGACUGCCCUGCAGCCAUUGGUCAGCAGAACAAAUGGUGUACAGCUGCUCCACCUCCAGUGCUUGAGCUGUGACAACCUACACAUGUCAUUUAUGCAAGUGCUCUUCUGUGUCGGUAGCUCCCCAUGCGAAGGAAGACCAGGUGUGACAUGUGUCCCAGGGACCCUUUGCAGAGGAGAGCACAGGCCCACUGGUGUGGGAAACAUGGGCACUGAAUGGGGUGUUUCCUUGGCACUGCUUGCCCGACAUUUGUGGUGCAGAAGGAGAUCUCUAUGUCAGCAACUUCAGGGAGGUUCAGAGGAAUGCUGA
RNAcentral lists this long non-coding RNA (575 nucleotides) under Meleagris gallopavo (turkey). RNAcentral describes it as "lncRNA (ENSMGAG00000022969.1)". The record is from RNAcentral. Lineage: Eukaryota; Metazoa; Chordata; Aves; Galliformes; Phasianidae.